CAAUCACAGCGACAGAAACCACUAAAUAGUUAAUUUUGUUGUCGUUGUUGUUCUAAAUUUAAUUGUUUUUGUUUUUAUUGUUGUUAUUAUUAUUAUUAUUAUUAUUAUUUUAUUUCAUAGUUUUAUCAAUUAAAUAUCAAUAAACCAAAAAGUAAUGCACGAUUUAUAUUGUGACACUUAAUUUAACCCUUCUGGACUUGAAGAGCUAGCAUUACGAGUAACAAAUUUAUUGAUUUUCUUAUUAUUUGACAGUGGCCAUCUCUAUAUGUCAGCACAUAACUGCCUGCUGUUAUGCAUUGACAGUUAAAUUACUCCAAAACAGAUUUACAGUAAUGAUUUGUUAAUAUCUUUCCAAUAAAUGAAGGCGUGUGUAUCUGUUCUGUGAGUGUCUGAUUAAUGAAGUAAAGGAAAAAGAAAGAAAAGUCACUCUGUCUCAAAUCUUCAAUUCUUAUUAGCAUGUUUAAAAAUCACAAAAGCUAAUCACUUUCGCAGUCCUUAUUUUUGACACCACUACAUUUAUGCUUGACUUUGUAUGUAAAGGUGAUGUAAGGGUUUUUUAUUAUUAUUAUUAUUAUUAAAUACCACAGCUUAAAUGACAGAUAUUGCAGAAAGUGAACGGGAACUACCUGCACUAUUUUUGCAUCUCAAUCAUUGUUUGUGCGCGUUCAGAUUUUCUGAUGUCGGGGCUGAUAUGUCUUUAGAGGGCUUAGAGAGAGGUCAUGUGGUGGUGGGGGUCUUAUUCAGUGACUAAAUGUGGCAGAAGACACUUAAAAGCACUUACAGCACCUUUAUUUCAGUCACACUUUUAUACUUUAGUAUACUUUAUAUACAUUUUACUUUACCAAAGUAAAGUAAACUAACAAAGUGUUUAAAAUGAAACCCUACACUCUAAAAAAAGAUGGUUCUUUAAAGGUUCUUUACAUGUAGAACCAGUUCUAUUUAGAACCAUAGCAUCCUGAAGAACCCUUUUAAUGCUGAAAUUGUUCUUUCUGUCAGAGUUUAGGGUUCUUUAUUUCUGCCCUUUUGUUUUUCAAAUCUGUAAAGGUCAAAGCACUUCAUUAGGCCUACUUUGUUUCUGGAGUUCAGUGAUUCAACUACAGACUGUCAACACACUCGCAGCAGAUGCUACUCUCUAAAAAAAAGAUGACUCAUUAGGCCUACUGAUUUUCUGGAGUUCAGCUAUCCAACUACACAGACUGUCAACACACUCUCACCAGGUAAAUGAUUUCUUUCUUAAAAUGUCUAUAAUUUUUAACUUUAAAAUUGUAACUGGUUUCUUACAAAUCAUGUAUUUUUCUCUUUUCAGUUUAAGAGAACAUGUAAGUGUGAUCAGUCCUGUUCAGUUAAGGAUACUCCUCUCCUCUUCACCAAUGAGUAA
This is a long non-coding RNA of Cyprinus carpio carpio, 1378 nucleotides long. The record is from Ensembl. NCBI's taxonomy places the organism in Eukaryota, Metazoa, Chordata, Actinopteri, Cypriniformes, Cyprinidae.